RNAcentral lists this ribosomal RNA (313 nucleotides) under Pharaxonotha sp. D0007. RNAcentral describes it as "partial 16S large subunit ribosomal RNA". The stretch from base 178 to 313 matches the Rfam family "Bacterial large subunit ribosomal RNA", at positions 2473 to 2608 of the family's 2925-position model. The record is from RNAcentral. Lineage: Eukaryota; Metazoa; Arthropoda; Insecta; Coleoptera; Erotylidae.
GACCCUAUAGAGUUUAAUAUUUAAUUAAUAAAUUAUUUUUUAGAAUUUAAUAUUAAUUUAUUAAUUAAAUAUUUGAUUGGGGUGAUUGAAAAAUUUAAGUAACUUUUUUUAUAUUUAAACAUUAAUUUAUGAUUAUUUGAUCCAUUAUUUAUGAUUAUAAGAUUAAAUUACCUUAGGGAUAACAGCGUAAUUUUUUUUAAGAGUUCAAAUCGAAAAAAAAGAUUGCGACCUCGAUGUUGGAUUAAAAUUUAUUUUUGGUGUAGAAGCUAAAUUUAUUGGGUCUGUUCGACCUUUGAAAUUUUACAUGAUCUGA